UUGACUCUUCCUCUAAGAGGCAAUUUCUCUUGUCUUUGGGCACAUGCUGGAUAAAGACCAAUCGUUUCUCUAGCCAUUGUGGUGAAUGAAGACUUUACCCUACAAGAGGUGGCUGCAGGCAUAGGAAAUCAGCCUGGUCCUGCCACAGUUACGGAGGAUCCAGGAAGAGAUCCUGCCCUCUGAAAAGAGUGGAACCAUCAGCAUGGCUGGCCCUCAGCUGGAUGAGAAGGAGAUCAGUUAGCACCUCAAAGGCAUUUUUAUGCCAAGAACAGCUCCCCUGCCGACGUACCGUGAGCUGCUGGAGGUCACACAGGUCUUUCUUACCAGCCUCAGCAGUACAGCCAACUGGCUUUUGCAUGAGCAUCUCCAGGGAGUCCUCGCCAGACCAAGGUUAUAUCAAGAAUCUUAAGACUAUAUUUUCUUGGGCACCUAUAAAUUUAUCCAUAUGUCUAUGGGAUUUCUUUUGCUAAGUGAAUCUACACAUGGGACUCUAUAUCCUUGUCACUGACAAAAUAUUCUUGGGCUUUUUCCCUUGCUCAUCAGAAAAGGCAAAUGUAAAAACAAAGACUACUUAAAAUGUGAUUAAUGGAUUAAUCAUCUAAUGUAAAGCCAAAAUUAGGAUUGAUCAGAGCAAAGUCUGGUCACAAAUACAAAUCUUGAAUUACUCUCUCUGUCCCUCCCUUGCCUGCAACUCCAUUACUUUGAAUACAGACUGUAGCUAACUCCAGUCAGAACUUAUCCUUCUUCUAAAACUGUGACACUUACUUGCUAAUUGCUAGGGUCCUAGAAAAAUACUUGAUCUUGUCUUGUUCUUGCUGUGAGCUGUGUAUUUCUUGGU
Molecule: long non-coding RNA, 838 nt
Organism: Rhea pennata
Lineage: Eukaryota; Metazoa; Chordata; Aves; Rheiformes; Rheidae
Exons: 3
Source: RefSeq, a predicted model, not a curated record